Molecule: ribosomal RNA, 1192 nt
Filed under: Pseudosperma mimicum
Lineage: Eukaryota; Fungi; Basidiomycota; Agaricomycetes; Agaricales; Inocybaceae
Description: eukaryotic LSU rRNA
Rfam family: Eukaryotic large subunit ribosomal RNA (bases 702-1192)
Source: RNAcentral
UGAGGAAGUAAAAGUCGUAACAAGGUUUCCGUAGGUGAACCUGCGGAAGGAUCAUUAUCGAAUAAAUGUUGAUAGGCUGUUGCUGGCUUCCCUAUGAAAGGGGGGGGGCAUGUGCACGCCUGUCAUCUUUGUUUUUCCACCUGUGCACACUUUGUAGAAUCCUAGAGAAGUAAUUGUCUGAGAAAAUCAGAUAGGUUGAGGACUGCUGUGCCCCUUGGGCCGGCUGUGCCUUGUGUAUCUUGGGUUCUAUGUCAUUCACAUACUCCUAUGAAUGUAACAGAAUGUUGAUCUGGGUCUUUAGCACCUAUAAAAAGUUAUAUACAACUUUCAGCAACAGAUCUCUUGGCUCUCGCAUCGAUGAAGAACGCAGCGAAAUGCGAUAAGUAAUGUGAAUUGCAGAAUUCAGUGAAUCAUCGAAUCUUUGAACGCACCUUGCGCUCCUUGGUAUUCCGAGGAGCAUGCCUGUUUGAGUGUCAUUAAAUUCUCAACUACACCGAUAUUUUUUUGUUGGUGUAGAUUGGAUUUGGGGGAUUUUUUGCGGGCUUUAGUAAAAUGAAGUCGGCUUCCCUGAAAUUAAUUACUGGUACCUUAGUAGAACCUUCUACAGGUGUGAUAAUUUAUCUAUGCCUUAGAUGUCUGCAUGAAAAAAGGUUAUGCUGCUUCCUACCCUCUCACUCCUUAGGGGUUACCGAUGACAAUCUUGACCUCAAAUCAUGUAGGACUACCCAGUGAAUUUAAGCAUAUCAAUAAGCGGAGGUUAAGAAACUAAGAAGGAUUCGCCUAGUUCUGCGAGUGAAGCGGGAAAAGCUCAAAUUUAAAAUCUGUUGGCCAUUGGUCAUCCGAGUUGUAAUCUAGAGAAGUGUUACCCGUGCUGGACCGUGUACAAGUCUUCUGGAAUGGAGCAUCACAGAGGGUGAGAAUCCCGUCUUUGACAUGGACUACCAGUGCUUUUGUGGUAUGCUCUCAAAGAGUCGAGUUGUUUGGGAAUGCAGCUCAAAAUGGGUGGUAAAUGCCAUCUAAAGCUAAAUAUUGGCGAGAGACCGAUAGCGAACAAGUACCGUGAGGGAAAGAUGAAAAGAACUUUGGAAAGAGAGUUAAACAGUACGUGAAAUUGCUGAAAGGGAAACGCUUGAAGUCAGUCUCGUUGACUUGAAAUCAACCCUGUUUCUGCUGGGUGUACUUUCUUGUCAAU